UAAAGAUUUACAAAAUAAUACAAAUUAAGGGCUGAGACCCUGCCACAUGCUCUGCAUCAAGUUAUUUGCGGGGGAAAGUCAUGGUAAGAACACUGCAUGAGGAGGCAGAAGGCCUAGAUUCUGGUCCCCCAGGAAACCCCACUUAGCAGCUGUGCCCUAGGAAGAGCUUCCCAAGCCUCAGUUACCUCUCUGAAACUAAGGGGAAACUCUGUUAGCCUACUGGAGAAAAAUACCCAGUUCUCCUGUUUUCAGCACUUAGAAGAAACUCUCCCUCUUCUCAGGUGCAACUCUGAGGAGUAACUUCAGUGACCUUUCUUUUGAAUGAGGAAAAGCACUGACAUUGGCAACUAAGGCUCCUGUUGUGUGUUAGUAAACCUGCCCAAGGCAACUAGAUGUUCAGCUCGGUGAGCGGUGACUGGUUUUCCUUCCCUUCCAGAGUGCCUGUGCUUGCUUUAUUAGUAGACAAGGAUCAGAGGAACCGUCACCGCAGCAGGCGUUGAUAAAUUGUAGGUAAGAGGUUCUGCAUCAUCACAACUCGUUCCCCAUUUGAACCAAAAAUUCCAGCAAGCAGAAACUUCAAAAUAGAUGGAUAAGCAGCUUCUGGAGAGCCCUGUGAGAAUUAGAAUUAUGACACACUGCCUCUGACCAUGGCUGAAAGCUCAACUUGCCAGCUGAAGGGACGCUCCUGGCUGAGCCCCAGCACCCUCUGUUGGAGCUCCUAGUCAGCCUGGCCAAUAAGCAUUUCCCACCCAUCGGCCCAGCUUUAGCACAGCUGAGAGAAUUUGGUCCAGAGUCAAGUGCUUCUGAAAAUGUACACACAGAUCGGGACAGCCCUCUGCCUUCUGCCAAGACACCCGAGUGCCCUUGGCAAAAGAUGCUCACCCCUGCCCUAGUGUCCCUCCAGUUGGCAGAAACUGCUCCCUCUCUCCUCAGCAACAGCUGCAAGUCUGGGGCCUCCCACCCUGUGUGCAGGAGGAGUUGAGGUACUGAGUCAGCUCUUCACUGCAGAGGGAGGGGCACCAGGCGGAUUGCCCUCAUGGAUGCACCUCGCUGCCGCUUUUGGCGGGUAAUCAGGACCGAUUAUGCCCCUACUGGAAGAGGUGACUCAGACUCCAUAGUUUGGGGGGUGAUUUCACUGCUUUGGCAGCCUCAACUUAACCUUCACACUGGAUCUCAUCACCCCGGAAACAAAUGAUUUCAAGAACCAGAAACCCUGAUAAAUUGGAACCUCUCCUUCUCAACUAAUGUCAAGGAAUUAAAUCACUCUGGUAUUUUGCAAAGA
Molecule: long non-coding RNA, 1282 nt
Organism: Capra hircus (goat)
Lineage: Eukaryota; Metazoa; Chordata; Mammalia; Artiodactyla; Bovidae
Exons: 2
Source: RefSeq, a predicted model, not a curated record